GAUGAACGCUGGCGGCGUGCCUAAUACAUGCAAGUCGAGCGAACAGAUGAGGAGCUUGCUCCUCUGACGUUAGCGGCGGACGGGUGAGUAACACGUGGAUAACCUACCUAUAAGACUGGGAUAACUUCGGGAACCCGGAGCUAAUACCGGAUAAUAUAUUGAACCGCAUGGUUCAAUAGUGAAAGACGGUUUUGCUGUCACUUAUAGAUGGAUCCGCGCCGCAUUAGCUAGUUGGUAAGGUAACGGCUUACCAAGGCAACGAUGCGUAGCCGGCCUGAGAGGGUGAUCGGCCACACUGGAACUGAGACACGGUCCAGACUCCUACGGGAGGCAGCAGUAGGGAAUCUUCCGCAAUGGGCGAAAGCCUGACGGAGCAACGCCGCGUGAGUGAUGAAGGUCUUCGGAUCGUAAAACUCUGUUAUUAGGGAAGAACAAAUGUGUAAGUAACUAUGCACGUCUUGACGGUACCUAAUCAGAAAGCCACGGCUAACUACGUG
Molecule: ribosomal RNA, 497 nt
Filed under: uncultured bacterium
Lineage: Bacteria
Description: partial 16S ribosomal RNA
Rfam family: Bacterial small subunit ribosomal RNA
Source: RNAcentral